This 460-nucleotide ribosomal RNA is filed under the name uncultured bacterium. RNAcentral's name for it is "partial 16S ribosomal RNA". It matches the Rfam family "Bacterial small subunit ribosomal RNA", at positions 338 to 795 of the family's 1533-position model. The record is from RNAcentral.
CCUACGGGUGGCAGCAGUGAGGAAUAUUUGUCAAUGGACGAGAGUCUGAACCAGCCAAGUAGCGUGAAGGAUUACUGCCCUAUGGGUUGUAAACUUCUUUUAUAUGGGAAUAAAACGUUCCACGUGUGGGAUUUUGUAUGUACCAUAUUAAUAAGGAUCGGCUAACUCCGUGCCAGCAGCCGCGGUAAUACGGAGGAUACGAGCGUUAUCCGGAUUUGUUGGGGUUAAAGGGAGCGUAGGUGGAUUGUUAAGUCAGUUGUGAAAGUUUGCGGCUCAACCAUAAAAUUGCAGUUGAAACUGGCAGUCUUGAGUAAAGUAGAGGUGGGCGGAAUUCGCGGUGUAGCGGUGAAAUGCUUAGAUAUCACGAAGAACUCCGAUUGCGAAGGCAGUUCACUGGACUGCAACUGACACUGAGGCUCGAAAGUGUGGGUAUCAAACAGGAUUAGAUACCCGAGUAGUC